RNAcentral lists this transfer RNA (74 nucleotides) under Dryopteris deparioides. Its description in RNAcentral is "tRNA-Thr". Lineage: Eukaryota; Viridiplantae; Streptophyta; Polypodiopsida; Polypodiales; Dryopteridaceae. The record is from RNAcentral.
UCACCCGUCUACCCCGAAGGAGAUAUAAGUAUUUCGUCCGGAGGUGUCGCAUUUCUGGAAGAAGUCUCCCGACU